Molecule: long non-coding RNA, 3060 nt
Organism: Aethalodelphis obliquidens (Pacific white-sided dolphin)
Lineage: Eukaryota; Metazoa; Chordata; Mammalia; Artiodactyla; Delphinidae
Exons: 3
Source: RefSeq, a predicted model, not a curated record
AACAUUUUAAAAUCUGUCUGUCUGUCUCUCACACACACCACCCCGGGUGGUAUUUGUGCCAGGCCCUGGUCUUUGGAACCCUCAGCCUUGCCCCCAACACCCCCAAAGCCCCUGUGGAGCCUGGCCCUUAAGUUCACCCCAGCAUUCACUCACAUCCCCUAGCCCACCGCAUACCACAUUUGUUUACAAAGCACUUUCACACCCUAUCUCAUUAGAGCACUCCUCACAUGUUACCUAAUUAUUUGUUUACUGUGUGUCUCCCUCCUAGACUGUGAGCUUUGCCUUAUUUAACUUUUUAUUUCUCUUCCUUCCAACCACUCCACUGACAGCUCCCCAGUGCUAAGCAGAGGACUCGGCAUAACUAUGCUUAUACAAUCGAUCGACUUAAUUAUCCCAAUUAUCCUGAUGGGUUGGUGUUACUCUCACUUUUCCAAGGAAAACGUCUCCAAGGUCUGCCUCAGGUCACACGCCUUCUAAGUGGUAAAGCUUCCAAAAUGACCCAGGUACAGGAGAGGCAUUUGAAAGCUAGCCACCCCCUCUGGGUUGAGUCUCAGGAAAAGCCCAACCUCAAAUCCCAAGGGAUCCAAGGAGGGAAAAGGAGGCUUUGAUGUGCCUGAGCAGGGCCAGGGAAAGGCUGCAGCUGUUUCCCAGGCAGCAGCCACCACAGGGAAAGGCCAGAGGCAAAGCCAGAAGUGAACCUGUCCAGGCCAAAGCCAGUCCCCCAGCUGCCCACCCUGCCCCCUUCCCCUCCCCCUUUGCUGGAAGUCUGGACCAGACCCCAGAACUCCAACCCUCCCUCAGGAAGGGAGGCCUUGUCUCCCAAGGUGGGGCAGAAUGCCGGGGCUCCAAAUAGGAAAGGGAUUUUGAGGCCUGUUUGACAGGUAUGAUACCUGCACACGAAAGCUAAGAGGCGAGGGAAAUGAUACAAGGGAGACAGGUCCCUGGGUCAGCUCUCCAGCACAGCCCCGGGCGCAGGCUUACCUGGGCCCAGGUGUGGAGGGGGGAGACCUGGGACCCUGUGUCUACCACUGGAAGGCCCUGGAGGUCGGAGCCACGUUCUGGCCUGGUUCUGGGCACCUGACUCACCCUCUCCUCCUGUGCCAGGAGCUGCUGCUGAAAGGGGCCUUUGCCCCCAGACCCCAGGGGAGCUCCGGCAGGGGGAGGCCCAGAGGCUGGCAGAUGUGGGAUGGCCUCACCUCGCCCUCCCCAGCCUUCCUGCCCUCCCUCCUACCCCCUCAUCGCCAUUGUGCCUUUAAGGCACUUGGAACACUCAGCUCUAUGCCAGCCGGGGACCCUGGCGUCUGGCCAGCUAUGGCCUCUUGAUUAAAGACACACAGAGACGCAAUCACAUGCACAGACACACAAGGGGUUCACCAUGGCCCAGAGAAACCCGCUCACCAGCCGCAGAGACGUGCUCAGAUGCCCCAGAGUGAUGUCAACAAAAACACACCAACAAUCCCCCUCCACUCGCACCCUCCGUUCACUCCAGUCCCUCGCAGACCCUUCAGCUCGCCGCCAACGCCCUGGAUUUUCCCAAGUUGACUCUCGUUUCAGGAAACAGCCAAACCGUCCAUCAGGGACACCUGUCCACCUGGAAGAGGGCCUGACUGUGCUCUUUGAAGUCAACCUCAAAGGAUUUCAGGGUGAGGAUGAUGAAAGAAGGCCGACGUCAAUAACUGCCCAGAUGUGUGUGCGGAAGGUCCCUGCAGCAGCGGGAGUGGGGCAGGUGCAGCUCGGGCUCCGGAGACGCCCACGGGGUCCUAGGAAGCCCACGGGGCUCGGGACCGGAGGGAAUGAACCCCUCUUGCUGGAGAGGGCCUGGAACAUGUGGCUCUGGGGAAGGGACCGGGGAGGGCUGAAAAUAAACAGGGGUUUUUGGAAAAACAAAAUGGAGAGUCUGGGAUUUCACUCAGAUGCUCCCCCGAUAAGACCAGAUAAGUAGAUCAGCCUCUGGAAAGGGCCCCUGCCAAACCUGCUCCCUUCCAGAAGGCUCCAUCUCUGACAAUACCACUGCCACUGGCCCUGGGGGCUGGCAGCACCUUCCUCCCUCUCCCUGGUCCGCAGCCCAGCACUGCAGGCCCUGCCAGUUCUCUCCCAUCACGGCCGCCCCCCAACAGGCUCUGGGGGCAAUUUUUGGCCCCAAUGUGCCCCAUCCUAUCUCUCUGCAUUCUCUUGUGCUCAACCCAUCAUGCUCACGGAUGCCAGAGUGAGCUUCCCAAAACAUGACGCCCAUCACUUCACACCUCCCACCGUCUCAAAAAUCCUCCAGAUAAACACAGCACAUUUUUGAGAGGAUAAAAUAUAAACCCUCGGGCUGCCUGCAAACUACCUCUCCACCCAAGAUCAAAGGUGUUCGUAAACGAAACCCUCGUCCACUCAGCCAAGCCAGUCCGCGCACGGUCCGGCCUCCCCCAAGCACGCCCGUCCCCGCGCACACUCGUCCCUGCAUACGCUGCUCAGGAAGGUCCUAGGUGGGGAAACCUCCCACUUUCCCCGGCCACACGUCACCUCCCUUCGAAGGCCCAAGUCCAGCCCCUCCCGCCAAUGUCUUCGGCACUUCAGGUCCAGACCACGGGCCAGGCUCUUGGGGUACUGGAUGGCUCUGUGAGCGCUGGUUUGACAUGAUCAGCUGGGGGAAUGAGCAGAGGAGUCUGCACGGCACAGUUACAAGGAAAGUCUCUAACCUCGCGAGAUGUCUGACAGCCCUGUUUUCCCCACACCUUCGAAAGCAUGACGACACAGGGCAACGGGCAGCAGCGGGCCCACGCAGGCUCACAGGCAGGGAUGCCCCGUGAGGGGCCGGGGCCCAGGAAUGGGAGAUACCCUUUCAGGAAGUUUCGUGCAUAAAAACAAGGGGCACCAAGUCACCGAGUCAAGGUUCCAGGGGUUAGUGAAGGAGCCCUUCUAACCCGGACACAAAGAGGGGAUUUGAUUUCUGUCUUAAGAAUCAAACGGUCAUAUUAGGUGGGAAAAUGAGCCGAUACUGCAAAGGCCCAAUAACUGAGGGAAACGAUACUCGGCUGGCUUAAGCUGCAGUGGAACGGUCCCCCGGCUUCACAC